This 478-nucleotide ribosomal RNA is filed under the name uncultured bacterium. Its description in RNAcentral is "partial 16S ribosomal RNA". It matches the Rfam family "Bacterial small subunit ribosomal RNA", at positions 28 to 523 of the family's 1533-position model. The record is from RNAcentral.
GACGAACGCUGGCGGCGUGCUUGACACAUGCAAGUCGAACGGUAAGGCCCUUCGGGGUACACGAGUGGCGAACGGGUGAGUAACACGUGGGUGAUCUGCCCUGCACUUCGGGAUAAGCCUGGGAAGCUGGGUCUAAUACCGGAUAGGACUCCGGACUGCAUGGUCUGGGGUGGAAAGCUUUUGCGGUGUGGGAUGGGCCCGCGGCCUAUCAGCUUGUUGGUGGGGUGAUGGCCUACCAAGGCGACGACGGGUAGCCGGCCUGAGAGGGUGACCGGCCACACGGGGACUGAGAUACGGCCCAGACUCCUACGGGAGGCAGCAGUGGGGAAUAUUGCACAAUGGGCGCAAGCCUGAUGCAGCGACGCCGCGUGAGGGAUGACGGCCUUCGGGUUGUAAACCUCUUUCAGCAUCGACGAAGCGAAAGUGACGGUAGGUGCAGAAGAAGGACCGGCCAACUACGUGCCAGCAGCCGCCGUAA